GACGAACGCUGGCGGCGUGCUUAACACAUGCAAGUCGAACGGAAAGGCCUGCUUUCCCUUGUGGAUUGCGGGUACUCGAGUGGCGAACGGGUGAGUAACACGUGAGUGAUCUGCCCCCAACUUGGGUAUAAGCCUGGGAAACUGGGUCUAAUUCCCGAUAGGACUGCAGGGUGGUGCCUGUGGUGGAAAACGAUUUUCUAGUGGUUGGGGAUGAGCUCGCGGCCUAUCAGCUUGUUGGUGGGGUAAUGGCCUACCAAGGCGGCGACGGGUAGCCGGCCUGAGAGGGUGGACGGCCACAUUGGGACUGAGAUACGGCCCAGACUCCUACGGGAGGCAGCAGUGGGGAAUAUUGCACAAUGGGCGGAAGCCUGAUGCAGCGACGCCGCGUGGGGGAUGACGGCCUUCGGGUUGUAAACUCCUUUCGACCGCGAGGAAGCCACCUGGUUGGAAGGGUGGUGACGGUAGUGGUAGAUGAAGCACCGGCUAACUACGUG
This 494-nucleotide ribosomal RNA is filed under the name uncultured bacterium. RNAcentral describes it as "partial 16S ribosomal RNA". It matches the Rfam family "Bacterial small subunit ribosomal RNA", at positions 28 to 507 of the family's 1533-position model. The record is from RNAcentral.